RNAcentral lists this ribosomal RNA (242 nucleotides) under Tsukamurella pseudospumae. Its description in RNAcentral is "partial 16S ribosomal RNA". It matches the Rfam family "Bacterial small subunit ribosomal RNA", at positions 1 to 244 of the family's 1533-position model. Lineage: Bacteria; Bacillati; Actinomycetota; Actinomycetes; Mycobacteriales; Tsukamurellaceae. The record is from RNAcentral.
UUUUUUAUGGAGAGUUUGAUCCUGGCUCAGGACGAACGCUGGCGGCGUGCUUAACACAUGCAAGUCGAACGGUAAGGCCCUUCGGGGUACACGAGUGGCGAACGGGUGAGUAACACGUGGGUGACCUGCCCUGUACUUCGGGAUAAGCCUGGGAAACUGGGUCUAAUACCGGAUAUGACCUUUCCCUGCAUGGGGUUUGGUGGAAAGCUUUUGCGGUACAGGAUGGGCCCGCGGCCUAUCAG